UCGACGUUCUGAUUCUCCGGCGUAACGGCUUCUCCACCACUUCGAUUCAUCAAAGCCUCAUUACUAUAACACUCCAAUGGCAACUUAACAAUUUAAUUCCACCAAAUUCACCCUAUAUAUCUUACUCACGUCUCUCACGAACUACUUCUCCAACUCCGAUCCGAUGAGAACGAUUCUUGGUCGGACAUAUAUCAUGCCGUGAUCCAUCGCUAUAUUUUUUUUUGAACGAUCAAGGUGAUCCGUCGCUUCCAAUAAGGCGAGAGCCAGCGGAAGAGGUUCCAUGUGAACACUGAGGCCCAGAGUUUGUCUAUGCAGUAAUGCAGAAGCAACUCCAAAGAUAUUCUCCUCUCUC
Molecule: long non-coding RNA, 352 nt
Organism: Brassica oleracea var. oleracea
Lineage: Eukaryota; Viridiplantae; Streptophyta; Magnoliopsida; Brassicales; Brassicaceae
Exons: 3
Source: RefSeq, a predicted model, not a curated record